Molecule: ribosomal RNA, 1545 nt
Filed under: Escherichia coli
Lineage: Bacteria; Pseudomonadati; Pseudomonadota; Gammaproteobacteria; Enterobacterales; Enterobacteriaceae
Description: bacterial SSU rRNA
Rfam family: Bacterial small subunit ribosomal RNA
Source: RNAcentral
AAAUUGAAGAGUUUGAUCAUGGCUCAGAUUGAACGCUGGCGGCAGGCCUAACACAUGCAAGUCGAACGGUAACAGGAAACAGCUUGCUGUUUCGCUGACGAGUGGCGGACGGGUGAGUAAUGUCUGGGAAACUGCCUGAUGGAGGGGGAUAACUACUGGAAACGGUAGCUAAUACCGCAUAACGUCGCAAGACCAAAGAGGGGGACCUUCGGGCCUCUUGCCAUCGGAUGUGCCCAGAUGGGAUUAGCUUGUUGGUGGGGUAACGGCUCACCAAGGCGACGAUCCCUAGCUGGUCUGAGAGGAUGACCAGCCACACUGGAACUGAGACACGGUCCAGACUCCUACGGGAGGCAGCAGUGGGGAAUAUUGCACAAUGGGCGCAAGCCUGAUGCAGCCAUGCCGCGUGUAUGAAGAAGGCCUUCGGGUUGUAAAGUACUUUCAGCGGGGAGGAAGGGAGUAAAGUUAAUACCUUUGCUCAUUGACGUUACCCGCAGAAGAAGCACCGGCUAACUCCGUGCCAGCAGCCGCGGUAAUACGGAGGGUGCAAGCGUUAAUCGGGAAUUACUGGGCGUAAAGCGCACGCAGGCGGUUUGUUAAGUCAGAUGUGAAAUCCCCGGGCUCAACCUGGGAACUGCAUCUGAUACUGGCAAGCUUGAGUCUCGUAGAGGGGGGUAGAAUUCCAGGUGUAGCGGUGAAAUGCGUAGAGAUCUGGAGGAAUACCGGUGGCGAAGGCGGCCCCCUGGACGAAGACUGACGCUCAGGUGCGAAAGCGUGGGGAGCAAACAGGAUUAGAUACCCUGGUAGUCCACGCCGUAAACGAUGUCGACUUGGAGGUUGUGCCCUUGAGGCGUGGCUUCCGGAGCUAACGCGUUAAGUCGACCGCCUGGGGAGUACGGCCGCAAGGUUAAAACUCAAAUGAAUUGACGGGGGCCCGCACAAGCGGUGGAGCAUGUGGUUUAAUUCGAUGCAACGCGAAGAACCUUACCUGGUCUUGACAUCCACGGAAGUUUUCAGAGAUGAGAAUGUGCCUUCGGGAACCGUGAGACAGGUGCUGCAUGGGGUUGUCGUCAGCUCGUGUUGUGAAAUGUUGGGUUAAGUCCCGCAACGAGCGCAACCCUUAUCCUUUGUUGCCAGCGGUCCGGCCGGGAACUCAAAGGAGACUGCCAGUGAUAAACUGGAGGAAGGUGGGGAUGACGUCAAGUCAUCAUGGCCCUUACGACCAGGGCUACACACGUGCUACAAUGGCGCAUACAAAGAGAAGCGACCUCGCGAGAGCAAGCGGACCUCAUAAAGUGCGUCGUAGUCCGGAUUGGAGUCUGCAACUCGACUCCAUGAAGUCGGAAUCGCUAGUAAUCGUGGAUCAGAAUGCCACGGUGAAUACGUUCCCGGGCCUUGUACACACCGCCCGUCACACCAUGGGAGUGGGUUGCAAAAGAAGUAGGUAGCUUAACCUUCGGGAGGGCGCUUACCACUUUGUGAUUCAUGACUGGGGUGAAGUCGUAACAAGGUAACCGUAGGGGAACCUGCGGUUGGAUCACCUCCUUA